This is a long non-coding RNA of Passer domesticus (house sparrow), 1230 nucleotides long. RefSeq lists it as uncharacterized. The transcript has 6 exons. NCBI's taxonomy places the organism in Eukaryota, Metazoa, Chordata, Aves, Passeriformes, Passeridae. The record is from RefSeq and is a predicted model, not a curated record.
AACCAGGUGAGUGGGAUGAAGUCCUUUGAGGCUGCACCAAUGGGAAUGUUACAGGUGCUGGGCCAAGAGCCCAAACAUUAUUGUCUGACUGACAACCAGCUGAGGCUCUUUUGGCUGUGGACAGAAGGGGUAUUUCAGUCAGAUGAUCAGCAGCUAUGGAUCUUCAGUCCUCCUGAAUAAAUGAUGGUGUUGCAGCAAUAUUUUAAUCAAUACAAUUAAGUUAGUCUUACCACAGAAAACUGGGUUCUGGUAGAACACAUACCAAGCAAAUGUGGAGGGAAAUAACCUAAAUAAAACAUUUAUUCCAUGUUUACAGAAUACAGGGGAAAAAUUUGAUAGUGAAAUAUGGAUAUUGCACUGUGAAUUGCUGCCUACUGUUUAGACACUGACCAUGUCUUCUGCCUGAUCAUUAAGACUGUUUAAUGGAGAUUCCUCAUGUAGUGAGCUAAUCUAAUUUUCCAACAUAAUUAAUUCUGCAUCACCUCAGCAGCUGCAUUCUGAUGUCUAAAAGAAAAUUUCUAAUUAUGUGAAAGCUGACCACUGAGUUCCUGAAAUAUGUGUGUUUUGCUGCUGUACCAUUAUCCAGGCAGGAGUGCUGAAGAUGAAAAAUCCUUCCAGACACUAGUGUUUCAAAUGAUGGAUGGAACUAUCCAGGCAAGAGGCAGUCCAGCUGGCCCAGGAGUCACAGCCAGGAGCAAGGAAGGUGGAGGCAAACACUGGAGAUGAGAUGGAGAUAAAUAAAUCUCAAUCAUUUUCUCUCUUUCUCUAGAUCUGUGCCAACCACGAUUUCCAAACUGUGUCAUACAGGUCUAGACUGCAAUAUUAGACUCCUAUGUGUCAAGGCUGUCAGUUCUGGGAUGCUCCUGUUUGGAUUCUGUGCUAUGAGACAGGUGCUUCAGAGAGCAAAGGAGAUGUUCUGCUGGGGAUGCCCCAGUGAAUAGAAGUGGAUCCAAUGUGCUCUGCAGCACUGCAAAUACACUGACAGAUGGAAAAUGUAACAAGAAUUUAAGAAAUAUCCUGUUGUCUGCUAAUACAGAGACCACCUAUGCAUGACUAGAGAUAUGGAAUGGAGAGUAUUUCUUGUGCAAUUCAUUAACAUGCUACCCAGUGUCUGAAAAAACCAAACUCCUCAGGACUGGACUAUACACUUUAUGGAUUUUCCAACUAUUGAAAAGAAAUCAGCAUGACCAAUGAAUUAUUACUCUGGUCUGCCUUUGGCCACCUAUCUUA